GCCUGAUUGGCUCAGUUGGAAGAGCAUGAGACUCUUGAUCUCAAGGUCAUGAAUUCAAGCCCCACAUUGGGUG
RNAcentral lists this transfer RNA (73 nucleotides) under Felis catus (domestic cat). It matches the Rfam family "tRNA". Rfam says of the family: Transfer RNA (tRNA) molecules are approximately 80 nucleotides in length. Their secondary structure includes four short double-helical elements and three loops (D, anti-codon, and T loops). Further hydrogen bonds mediate the characteristic L-shaped molecular structure. tRNAs have two regions of fundamental functional importance: the anti-codon, which is responsible for specific mRNA codon recognition, and the 3' end, to which the tRNAs corresponding amino acid is attached (by aminoacyl-tRNA synthetases). tRNAs cope with the degeneracy of the genetic code in two manners: having more than one tRNA (with a specific anti-codon) for a particular amino acid; and 'wobble' base-pairing, i.e. permitting non-standard base-pairing at the 3rd anti-codon position. The record is from Rfam by way of RNAcentral. Lineage: Eukaryota; Metazoa; Chordata; Mammalia; Carnivora; Felidae. RNAcentral also lists the same sequence under 5 other names.